AACGAACGCUGGCGGCAUGCCUAACACAUGCAAGUCGAACGAGACCUUCGGGUCUAGUGGCGCACGGGUGCGUAACGCGUGGGAACCUGCCCUUAGGUUCGGAAUAACUCCCCGAAAGGGGUGCUAAUACCGGAUAAUGUCUUCGGACCAAAGAUUUAUCGCCUUUGGAUGGGCCCGAGUUGGAUUAGCUAGUUGGUAGGGUAAAAGCCUACCAAGGCGACGUUCCAUAGCUGGUCUGAGAGGAUGAUCAGCCACACUGGGACUGAGACACGGCCCAGACUCCUACGGGAGGCGGCAGUGGGGAAUAUUGGACAAUGGGGGAAAGCCUGAUCCAGCAAUGCCGCGUGAGUGAUGAAGGCCUUAGGGUUGUAAAGCUCUUUUACCCGGGAUGAUAAUGACAGUACCGGGAGAAUAAGCUCCGGCUAACUCCGUG
This 433-nucleotide ribosomal RNA is filed under the name uncultured bacterium. Its description in RNAcentral is "partial 16S ribosomal RNA". It matches the Rfam family "Bacterial small subunit ribosomal RNA", at positions 29 to 507 of the family's 1533-position model. The record is from RNAcentral.